CUCAGUGAAUUUUGCACAAAUGAACACCCUGUGUAGCCAGCACCUGAUCAACAAACAGGACAUGACCAGUAACUUAGGAGAAUUUUUAAGAGCCAGUUUUGGGCCAAGGUUCAUAGACCUUCAGUAGGUUUGGAGCACAGGAGUCUGCAUGGUGAUGACGGUGAUGAUGAUGAAAAAUAUUUUUUCAAUUAAAGAAACAAAACAGUAACUUUUUUCAAAACAGGAUUAAAAAAAAAAUGCAGAUGGUCCUUCCUUGGAGCAACAAUGAAUGAAACAAAGUAUGUCACCAAUGCCAUGGAAGGGAAUUCCAGGGGACUCCAGAGAGUGAGCAAUGAUGGAAUAGGAAGACAGAGGAGGAAGAUGGUGCUGAGAUGGAUGUUAAGACAUGCUUCAGAGAGGAAAUGACCCGUAAACUGAAUUUUGAACAAAAAUGGGAUUUCAUCAUGGAAGGUGGAAGGAAUUCCAUUCAGAACUGAGGGAGUGGAGACUCUGCAGGUGUUUUGAAACCAUCUGGCAUGUUUGGGAACCUGCCAGGAGUUCAACAAGGCUGAAACACAACCUACGAAGGGAGGAGGGCCCCAGGGAGGAGCGCUGCUGCAGGCAGUCAGAAGCCACCAAAAGCAAACACACCUGCUCUGGUGAGUAACGUGCUGUGGGGAGAUUCUGAUGACCCCUGCAUCAGAGCCUCCCUCUUUUCCUUUCUUCAGAAUUGAGCAGCUACUACACAGCAGGCACCAAGCUAAGUACCAGGGAUACACUCUUAAGCAAAAACCAAGUCCCUGUCUUUAUCUAGAUUAAAGAAAAGACAAGCCUUAAGCACAUAAUCACCACAAGAGCAAAACUGUAAGUGCAUUCCGCGAAGUGCAAAAAAAGGUAAGACUUGGGGCUUCCCUGGUGGCGCAGUGGUUGAGAGUCUGCCUGCCAAUGCACGGGACGCAGGUUCGUGCCCCGGUCCGGGAAGAUCCCACAUGCCGCGGAGGGGCUGGGCCCGUGAGCCAUGGCCGCUGAGCCUGCACGUCCGGAGCCUGUACUCCGCAGCGGGAGAGGCCACAACAGUAAGAGGCCCGCGUACCGCAAAAAAAAAAAAAAAAGGUAAGACUCCUGGUGCCAUGAGGGCACACGCCAGGGGGACCUGGCCUAGUCUUAAACUUUAGUAGCUGAAAUGAUAUUUAAGCUAAAUUCUGAAUAUCGAAUAGAAGUUAACUAAGGUGGGGGUGGAAGUGGAGGAGGUAUUCUUAGGAGGUAUUCUUACCAUAAAUGUGGUAGGCACUUGCUGACUGACAGGAUGAAUUGACCCUGUCCCUCUCAAUAGGGCAAAUCAAAAGUAAGGAAGAUUAUUCACUGGAACAAACCAUUGGAGAGGGUUCUGGCCAAUCCCAUUCUCUUUACUGUUUUUCUAUAUGGGUUGAUGGAGCAUUUUCUACUCGAUACUAUUGUUGCCUAUUUUAGUUUUUUGUUGUUGGGUUAUUUUUUUUGUUUUGUUUCUGGUCAACAGAGGUGGAAAAAUAUAUCAUUAGCAGCUGCCACUACCAGUAAUAACCGUGUGUACAGGACUGUAGCCCACCUCACAUGAACCAACCUCCUGUCAGUCACUAAUAUUUUUUGAGCAGCUACCAAUUAUGAUUUGGUGAAGGGAGGUGGAGUGUGGCUGCCUAGAAAUUUGAUAAGCUAUAAUCAGAGCGACCCCAAGUACUGGGCAUAAGUUUAGGAAUGGAGCUGGGUUUAGCAAAAUGAUAGCAGUCUUCUUAUCUAACAUUUAUUGACUUCUUACAUGUACUAAGCACACUAUUGUCAUCUUUUUAAAUUAGCACAGUAGUCACUUGAGUUGGGUACUGUUAUUAUCCUCAUAUUUUGAAGGAGAGAACUAGAGCUUAGGGAGGCUAACCUGCCCACUUUCACACAGCAGAAAAUGUAUAACAGACAUUUGAAGUCAGGUCUGGGUGGCCCUAGAACCUGCACGUUUCAUAACUCAGCCACAGUGCCUCCCAAAAGGUGGCGUAUCUCCGGUCACCUGCAGACUUUACGCCAUGGUUGCGAACACCUGAUAUAGUAUUCCACUGCCCACACAGCAUUGCUCUUCACAACAAUUACUGGGUCCCUUUAUUUCUCACUGAAAUGUUUUUGCAGUCUAGUAUCUUUUUGUCUCCAAAAGAGCCUUUUUUCCCUUUUUAUUUUUUAAAUUAUUUUUAAAAUUUAUUUAUUUAUUUAUUUCUGGCUGCGUUGGGUCUUCAUUUGCUGCACGCAGGCUUUCUCUAGUUGUGGCGAGCAGGGGCUACUCUUCAUUGCGGUGUGCGUGCUUCUCAUUGCGGUGGCUUCUCUUUGUUGCGGAGCGCAGGUUCUAGGCACGCAGGCUCAGCAGUUGCGGCACGUGGGCUCAGUAGUUGUGGUGCAUGUGCUUAGUUGCUCCGCAGCAUGGGGGAUCUUCCUGGACCAGGGUUCGAACCUGUAUCCCCUGCAUCAGCAGGCAGAUUCUUAACCACUGCGCCACCAGGGAAGCCAGUCCCAUUUUUUAAAAUUAAUUAAUUAAUUUUUGGCUGCAUUGGGUCUUUGUUUCCCUUUUUUAAAAAAAUGUCCUAGCGGGCUUCCCUGGUGGCCCUAUGGUUGGGAGUCCACCUGCCGAUGCAGGGGACACGGGUUCGUGCC
This 2643-nucleotide long non-coding RNA is filed under the name Monodon monoceros (narwhal). RNAcentral's name for it is "lncRNA (ENSMMNG00015014070.1)". The record is from RNAcentral. Lineage: Eukaryota; Metazoa; Chordata; Mammalia; Artiodactyla; Monodontidae.